GCCUAGCCCCGAUUGAAGCAAUUGUUUGAGCUCUUUUUUAUUUUUAAAAAAUAAAAAAAGCGAGUGCGUAAAGCGGGAAGUUGC
Molecule: small RNA, 84 nt
Filed under: Tenacibaculum dicentrarchi
Lineage: Bacteria; Pseudomonadati; Bacteroidota; Flavobacteriia; Flavobacteriales; Flavobacteriaceae
Description: Flavo-1
Rfam family: Flavo-1 RNA
Source: RNAcentral